Molecule: ribosomal RNA, 453 nt
Filed under: uncultured bacterium
Lineage: Bacteria
Description: bacterial SSU rRNA
Rfam family: Bacterial small subunit ribosomal RNA
Source: RNAcentral
UACGGGAGGCAGCAGUGGGGAAUAUUGCACAAUGGGCGCAAGCCUGAUGCAGCCAUGCCGCGUGUAUGAAGAAGGCCUUCGGGUUGUAAAGUACUUUCAGUCGUGAGGAAGGUGUUAAGGUUAAUAACCUUAGCAAUUGACGUUAGCGACAGAAGAAGCACCGGCUAACUCCGUGCCAGCGGCCGCGGUAAUACGGAGGGUGCGAGCGUUAAUCGGAAUUACUGGGCGUAAAGGGCACGCAGGCGGUUAAUUAAGUUGGAUGUGAAAUCCCCGGGCUUAACCUGGGAAUGGCAUUCAAGACUGGUUAGCUAGAGUCUUGUAGAGGGGGUAGAAUUCCAUGUGUAGCGGUGAAAUGCGUAGAGAUGUGGAGGAAUACCGGUGGCGAAGGCGGCCCCUGGACAAAGACUGACGCUCAUGUGCGAAAGCGUGGGGAGCAAACAGGGAUUAGAUACC